This 1736-nucleotide long non-coding RNA is filed under the name Bactrocera tryoni. RNAcentral describes it as "uncharacterized LOC120777617". The record is from RNAcentral. Lineage: Eukaryota; Metazoa; Arthropoda; Insecta; Diptera; Tephritidae.
UUUGCGGUAACUACUCAAUGCGUUUAGUGUGUUCGGUUUGUCGGCAGACGCGCGCGAGUAAAGGUAAAAGGUAAAUUUUCGGCAAAUGCAACUGAUUUUGUGAAAUGGCUGCCUGUGACGAGUAAAAGCAAAAUUAUUAAAAUACAAAUACUGCAAGCGUUGUUACCAAAGUAACUUGGCAAAUAGCUAGUAAAUGUUUAGCACAAAAUGAAAAACAUAUUUUGGUAAAAUAAUAAUCAUAAAGUGUUGUUGUGUGUGCGCGAACAAACACGGGCGAGCCGAAGUGCAGUCUGUGAUUUUGUACAAACUAUUUAUUUGGCCUUUACUAGUUGUUUGGCUACAGAAUCUAUAACAGCGCAGACACAGAUCGGAUGUUUUAAACAAAUACUCAGUUGUGGUGAUUACUUUGCAAGUAAUAUAAGCGCAUAUGUAUGUAAAUGUAGUGUGUGUGUUUGUAAAUAAUAUAAAUUUGAAUAAAUUGUACAUCGAAUGUUGCAAGCAAAAGAAAAAAAUGGCCAUUAAAGUGCAAUGAAUGAUAGUCAAAUGUAUAAAACAUAAAGGAAACUUUAAAUGAAUAUAGUCUCAGCGCAACAAAAAACAACAAACGCUUAAAAGUGUAAGCAAAAUUAAAUACUUCACAUAACAUUACUUGGCAAAAAGCUACAAAAACAAGUUAACUAAAAACGCAACAACAUCGAAAAAAUCAGCAAUCUAAAAUAACGUCUACAACUACAUACAUACAUAUACAAUAACAAACAAAAACGUAAAAACCAGCAAUAAAGUAAAAAUAAUAAUUAAACAACGACUACAAAUUAAAAGCAAACAAAUCUCACAGCAGAUAAAACAGCAACAACCACAUUACUAUAUAAAGUAUACAAGCAUUGCAAAACUACCUGUUCACUCGCUCAAAGCACUUGCGAGUGCUCACUCCCGAAAACCUGGGACUCUCAAAACAGCCACGAGUGGACUGCUCAGUGUGCACACAUACACUCAAAAACAUUUAAAUAUUAAGUAUUUACGUAGCUGUUGAUCUCGGCGCUUCUCCAGCGCAUUUUUUGGCGGAUAAACGCAGUGUGUGUCGCGAGCAAAAAUUACAAAAAAAAAAAGGUUUGAAAAUCAACCAGUUACUGAUAAAAAACGUGAAACAAUAAAAUAUUGCUGCUUAUAUUUACAAAUACAUAAAUAUAUUUAUAAUUACUGCUUACUUGUGCAUUGCAAUAACAAAGGUGUAAAGUGUAUUCCAUUUCAGUGCAAAAAUAUCUGCGUCAAUAAAAUACAAAUACGCCCCCGAAACGAAAAAAAGGCAGUCGAUGUCAGUGAAUGUCAAAUAAUUUUCUGUGUAUAAUUUACAAUUAAAGUGUGUAGCAAAGUGCGUUGAGCGAGCGCAAACACAACUUUCGCAAACAUACAGAUAUAUCUAAGAAAUAAGAGUGUACAAGUUCUAACAAAUUCAUGGAAAGAGUGCAGAAAAGAUAUAGUGUGUGUGAAGAGUGCUCGUUGGCAUUCUAGUUGAAAUUUCUUGUUUUUGUGUUGCAAGUUCGAGUUUUGUGUGUAUUGUUUUUUUUUUGGUUAUACAAAAUAUAGCCAGAACCCGUUUUCUGUUGACUCAAACAUAAUUUACGGAAGACUACCUAACAACUACCUGUGCAACAAGCGGUCAAAAAAGCGAUCGAAAGGCAAAGCAGUGUAAACAAAUUCUUUCUAGUUGGAUUGGAAGCAGAUUUGUUUUGAGAACG